RNAcentral lists this ribosomal RNA (415 nucleotides) under uncultured eukaryote. RNAcentral's name for it is "eukaryotic LSU rRNA". It matches the Rfam family "Eukaryotic large subunit ribosomal RNA", at positions 1235 to 1634 of the family's 3401-position model. The record is from RNAcentral.
CGACAGCGGGACGGUGGUCAUGGAAGUCGAAAUCCGCUAAGAAGCGUGUAAAAACGUACCCGCCCAACGGAUCGGCCCCGAAAAUUGAUGGCGCUCGAACGCAACCCUCGAACCCCGCCGACGGAGGCUAGGGGAGGCCCCGUCGAGUAGGCGGACGCGCGGGUCGCUUCGACGCUCUCGCGCGAGCGGGGGCGGAGCGGCCCGUGGUGCAGAUCUUGGUGGUAGUAGCGAUCACCCAGGCGAGAACCCUGAGGGCCGAAGUGGAGAAGGGUUUCUCGAGAACGGCACUCGCUCGAGAGUUAGUCGAUCCUAAGCUGCCGGCGGCAGCACGAAACGGUCGAUCGGGCGCGAGCCCGGCAGCCACGACCGGGCAGCGAAAGGGAAUUGGGAACCUCCUUCCCAAACCCGGAACCGG